CAGGUUUUGGAGAAACAUAUGCUGCCAUCCAAGCAACGUCUUCUUCAUGGACGCCCCUGCUUAUUUCAGCAAGACAAUGCCAAACGACAUUCUGCGCGUGUUACAACAGUGCGUUUAUUUCCAUAAUUCCAUUCAAAAAGUUCAAUUUGUUUUAAUAGAUAUUUAUGUUUACAUAGUUUGGGUUUCCAGCUCAUGAAACCCACAAAAUCAGGAAUUCAGAAAAUUUGAAUACUGUGAAGAAAUCAGGCCACAUUUUGCAGGUCGUAAAUGUUUUAAACUGAGUCUCACACAUUAAUCAUCUACUAAACUCAAAGCACCCGCACAGGCUUCCCCAUGUGUCGUUCAAUUCCUUCAGUUUGGUUCAAUUGUCUCAAUUGGGCUCAAUAUGGGGAAGACUGCAGACUUGACAACUGACCAGAAGACCAUCAUUGAUACCCUCCAUAGGAUGGGUAAGCCACAAAAGUUCAUAACUAUUGUAUGAUUUUUCACCAAUUUAUUUGUAUGUCCUUGCAUAAAAUAAAUAUUCAGACAAUUAAAAAGUUGACCUCAAUACUUUCUAAUGAAACCUUUGUUUGCAAUUACUGAGGUCAAAUGUUUGUUGUACCGGUUGAUAGAAAGGCAACUCCCUAUUUGUAAGUACUCGUAAUUUAUUUCUGUGCUAUAAUUCUUACAAGAAAUUAACAUGAGAAGAAAUUGUAUUGCAUGGAGUUUUAGUUGAAAUUCGAUAUGGGCGCCAGCAUUAGCCACAAGUUUCUCAAGCCACCUGGCAACCGCAUUAACUGAUUUCACAAGGAACUCAUGGGAUGGAAGACAUAACUUCUCGUAUUCGCCCUUCCUGUUCUUCCAAAGUCAUUGGUUUGGUCGAAUAUAGACUUGCUCCUUUAAUCAUGGAACAUACACCCAAAACAAAAAUUGAUAAAAAUAUUACAUGAAUAAAUUAUAAGUAUUUUAAAAUAGGGAGUUACUUUUCAAUCACCCUGUAGUUCUUGACCAGGUUUGCAAACACUGUCGCAGGUAUUUUGGCCCACUGUAGAGAAGAGCUUCUCUCGAUCUGUUUUGGGUCUUUUGCUGGCCAACUCCAGCUUUCAACUCCCACCACAGAUUUUCUAUGGGGUUGAAGUCUGGAGACUGGCUCGACCACUUCAGGACCUUGAAAUGCUUCUUAUGAGGCCGCUCCUUAGUUGCCUAGGUUGUGUGUUUGGGGUUAUUGUCAUGCAGGAAGAACCAGCCAUGUUCCAUCUUCAAUACUCUUACAGGGGGAAGGAGGUUUUUUUGCCCAAAAUCUCACAAUACAAUGUGGGUGGGUGGGAUCUGGCAUGGACCGCAGGUCGAGGGAGAUUGUCAGUUAUCAUGUAUUUCCUCCAUCUGUUAAUAAUUAUACCAACAGUUGUUCUUCUCACCAUCUUGCUUCUUGUAAUGUAGUUCAUCCAAGCCUUGUGCAGGUCUACAAUUUUGUCCCUUGUGUCCUUAAACAGUUCUCGUGUCUUGGCCAGGGUGGAGAGGUUGGAGUCUGACUGUUUGACGGCGUGGACACGUGUCUUAUAUACAGAUAUGGAUUUUAAAACGGGGGCUAUUACAACAGUGGAACCUCAAGGUCCGGAUCGGUGCCUGUGGACGUAAAGGUGACGAAGCCUGGCAGGUUGUCGUCGCCCAUAUGGCUGCUGAUCCAGUCCUGGUACCGGGAAACCCGCGUGUAGACACCUGGAAACUCCGGCAAGGCGCAAUCUUCUCCGAAGCUCACCACCCCGCUCUGGACCCACACGGACCCUUUUUUGCUCACCAUGGGACUACCGGAAUCACCCUGUGGAACACCAAGACCUGCUGAUCAGAUUCUUGAGAUAGCGUCAGCGCUCUCCUGCUCACAGCCUCUAGAGUGGUCAUCCUUGCACCGUGAGUGAGUAUGAUGCUGGUACACUGCUGUGUUUUGGGCAGGGUUGUUUGUGUAGUGUGUUUGUGUAAACUUCUCAAGAGAAACCAAUGACUCCACCCUACCUUGGCGUUGGGCCAAUUAAAA
Molecule: long non-coding RNA, 2014 nt
Organism: Phycodurus eques (leafy seadragon)
Lineage: Eukaryota; Metazoa; Chordata; Actinopteri; Syngnathiformes; Syngnathidae
Exons: 3
Source: RefSeq, a predicted model, not a curated record